RNAcentral lists this transfer RNA (68 nucleotides) under Marmota monax (woodchuck). RNAcentral's name for it is "tRNA.Ala". The record is from RNAcentral. Lineage: Eukaryota; Metazoa; Chordata; Mammalia; Rodentia; Sciuridae.
GGUUGUGGCUCAGUGGUAGAGCGCUUAACCUCGCACGUGCGAGAUCCUGGGUUUGAUCCUCAGCACCA